GUAGGUGGCAAGCGUUGUCCGGAAUUAUUGGGCGUAAAGCGCGCGCAGGUGGUUCUUUAAGUCUGAUGUGAAAGCCCACGGCUCAACCGUGGAGGGUCAUUGGAAACUGGAGAACUUGAGUACAGAAGAGGAAAGCGGAAUUCCACGUGUAGCGGUGAAAUGCAUAGAGAUGUGGAGGAACACCAGUGGCGAAGGCGGCUUUCUGGUCUGUAACUGACGCUGAGGCGCGAAAGCGUGGGGGAGCAAACAGGAUUAGAUACCCUGGUAGUCCACGCCGUAAACGAUGAGUGCUAAGUGUUAGGGGGUUUCCGCCCCUUAGUGCUGCAGCUAACGCAUUAAGCACUCCGCCUGGGAGUACGGCCGCAAGGCUG
This 371-nucleotide ribosomal RNA is filed under the name uncultured organism. Its description in RNAcentral is "partial 16S ribosomal RNA". It matches the Rfam family "Bacterial small subunit ribosomal RNA", at positions 527 to 896 of the family's 1533-position model. The record is from RNAcentral.